RNAcentral lists this ribosomal RNA (440 nucleotides) under uncultured bacterium. RNAcentral describes it as "partial 16S ribosomal RNA". It matches the Rfam family "Bacterial small subunit ribosomal RNA", at positions 338 to 795 of the family's 1533-position model. The record is from RNAcentral.
CCUACGGGUGGCAGCAGUGGGGAAUAUUGCACAAUGGGGGAAACCCUGAUGCAGCGACGCCGCGUGAGUGAAGAAGUAUUUCGGUAUGUAAAGCUCUAUCAGCAGGGAAGAAAAUGACGGUGUCUGACUAAGAAGCCCCGGCUAACUACGUGCCAGCAGCCGCGGUAAUACGUAGGGGGCAAGCGUUAUUCGGAUUUACUGGGUGUAAAGGGAGCGUAGACGGUGUGGCAAGUCAGAAGUGAAAGCCCGGGGCUCAACCCCGGUAGUGCAUUUGAAACUGUGUGACUUGAGUGCAGGAGAGGGAAGCGGAAUUCCUGGUGUAGCGGUGAAAUGCGUAGAUAUCAGGAGGAACACCAGUGGCGAAGGCGGCUUACUGGACUGUAACUGACGUUGAGGCUCGAAAGCGUGGGGAGCAAACAGGAUUAGAUACCCUGGUAGUC